This 198-nucleotide ribosomal RNA is filed under the name uncultured bacterium. Its description in RNAcentral is "partial 16S ribosomal RNA". It matches the Rfam family "Bacterial small subunit ribosomal RNA", at positions 1302 to 1500 of the family's 1533-position model. The record is from RNAcentral.
AGUCUGCAACCCGACUCCACGAAGUUGGAUUCGCUAGUAAUCGCGCAUCAGCCAUGGCGCGGUGAAUACGUUCCCGGGCCUUGUACACACCGCCGUCAAGCCAUGGGAGCCGGUAAUACCCGAAGUCAGUAGUCCAACCUCGUGAGGACGCUGCCGAAGGUAGGAUUGGCGACUGGGGUGAAGUCGUAACAAGGUACC